RNAcentral lists this ribosomal RNA (445 nucleotides) under uncultured bacterium. RNAcentral describes it as "bacterial SSU rRNA". It matches the Rfam family "Bacterial small subunit ribosomal RNA", at positions 354 to 796 of the family's 1533-position model. The record is from RNAcentral.
GUGAGGAAUAUUGCGCAAUGGAGGCAACUCUGACGCAGCCAUGCCGCGUGCAGGAAGAAGGCGCUACGCGUUGUAAACUGCUUUUAACCGGGAAGAAACCCCAGGACGUGUCCUGGGUUGACGGUACCGGAGGAAUAAGCACCGGCUAACUUCGUGCCAGCAGCCGCGGUAAUACGAAGGGUGCAAGCGUUAUCCGGAUUCAUUGGGUUUAAAGGGUGCGUAGGCGGAGCGUUAAGUCAGUGGUGAAAUCCUGCAGCUUAACUGUAGACUUGCCAUUGAUACUGGCGCUCUUGAGUGCGCUGGAAGUGGGCGGAAUGUGCCGUGUAGCGGUGAAAUGCUUAGAUAUGGCACAGAACACCAAUUGCGAAGGCAGCUCACUAAGGCGAUACUGACGCUGAGGCACGAAAGCGUGGGGAUCGAACAGGAUUAGAAACCCCUGUAGUCC